UCUACAAUAUCUCGUUACCGGUAUCGAGCGCAUUUCAGAGAUGACGAGUGCAACGAGUGACUUUGUCAUUUCGUUACUACAUCUCAUCCGUCAAGUAUUUUCCUCUUCGUGGUACUUCCAGCAUAGUAGCCGCUCGAUAAGUAGCCGUACUCGAGGCACUACAGAUGGUCCUUGUUCAGAAACGAAGAAUUAUCGAGCGUGAUACGAAUAUACCGACUUAGGACCACAAAGGGUCAACAUAUCCCAUAGUAGGAUGUUCCGAGUCAAUGGCCUGAAAGAUAUGUUCGUGAAUUUUUUAAUGUUCAAUUUAAAACCUAAAAUUAAAAAAUUUCUACAAAUACAUAUUCGGUAGAAUUAUGUAACGCUGAAAUAAUGCACAGCUAUCUUGCAUUACACGAGGUAUGGGUCUUCAAAUAAUGGUAAUUCAGUUAUGAUUCUUUGUAGAAAUGAAAAGUAUAACGCUUGAAAUGCUUCUCAGUGAGUCACGGGAGCUCCUAGAAAGUUUAUGGUAUAAAAUUAGAUUACUCGUUCCUUACAUAAACCCAUACUUAUUAGAUAUUAAUAAUAUAGUAAAAUCAAAUAUUUACCUACCUCAACUGUUAGCACGCCAGUGAAGCACAUCGAUGAGUAUGUAUACAUAUACACGGUAGUUGUGCAAUCGAACGAGUACUUUUAACCGAUGACGAUUUUAAAACGGUUAGGUAACCAAAAGUGCAUCGAAGUUGGCAUUCGUGAGACGAAUAAGCCAACGAGAUCAGUUAUCCGUCGGUUGUACUGAUGAUAACUUUUCGACGAAUUAUCGUGCACUAGUCACGAAAAAGCAUGGGUAAAGUGUACUCGAUUUUCGAAACAAUAGACGGUUGGAUACGGGAGGUGAAAGGUCUCCGUCGAAUAUCUAGAAACCGAGUUUCCGAAACGAAAAUCACGAUCGAUACGAACGACAGUAUCUUCCAUCACGAAACGUGGAAGCAAGCUUUCCUGACCGAUUCACCGGUACUUCGUGAUCUACUGUUCGGUGUGCCCACCGAGAGCAACGUGAUCGAUGUCAUUUGCACGAUCAAUCGUUUCAUCUUCUUUUACUUGAUUAUUAAAUGGAUCAAUUUCGAAGUACGCACGAUUUUUGACACCGAUCAUUUUCCUUUUAAUUGAUCUCGAAACGCGAAAAAUGACUCGUAAUUGAUACGUGUACCUAAAAUUCAGUUAAUGUGGUUAUAUAUUGAAGGAGGUAAACAGGGCAAUGUAAAUAAAGGUGUCUACUUUUGUACACUAUAGUAGCCGCUUGAUAAUUUCCCUCUUUCGAGGCUCCAGAGGUAGGUCUGUCUAAAAGACCGACAAUUAUCGAGCGUCUACUUACAAUUAGCAGAGCGGUAGGCACUGCCCCUGGAUAUAUACCACUCGGCAUACUGUGGCGUCAAGCGGGUCAUCCCGUGCAGGGGCCUGUACCGCUUCGACACUUUUCGUCCAUAACUCAUUCGCUUUCACGGCACCUUUUCAUCGGGUUUGAAGGUCCCGAUUAAUUUCAAUGUAUCACGAAAAAUACAAUGAUAAAAUAUGUUCCAUCUGUCCUUUCUGUUAUUCGUCAAGCAAUUCUACGAGUUUCAAUUGGCAAUGUAACCAAAAACGAAGGUUAUCCUUGAGCAAUAAACGAAUGGAUAGACGAAAUAAUAACUGAAAAGGGAUAGAGGGUGAGAAGAUGACAAAAGAGAACGGGAAGUACUGCGAAGUACAAAAAUAAGUAACGUGGAGGCCGGGUUAGGUAAACAGGGGGGAUAAAAGGAUAGGUCGGAAAAGAAGGAAACGCUCGAGGAUGUAAAGAACAGCGGAGACAGAAAGAGAGAGUACGUAAAGGCAAGGAGGAGAAUGGAGAAACUCAUGGCUGCUGCUGAUCGAUAGAAUGGAGAGCUGCGCGGUAUACACUUGCUUUUCCAAUAGAACAUUGUAGAGAUAUAACGUAUGUAGAUAAACACACUUUUGGGAAAUAAUUACAUGUAUGCGCAUCCUGCAGAGAUCAUUGUUCAAUGUAAAUCCUAUUUUACUGUAGCUUCUAUUUUGGAUCAUUAUCUGCGAUGAAUAUAUAAAAGACUCCACCGAAUUAUUCAUA
Molecule: long non-coding RNA, 2101 nt
Organism: Osmia lignaria (orchard mason bee)
Lineage: Eukaryota; Metazoa; Arthropoda; Insecta; Hymenoptera; Megachilidae
Source: RefSeq, a predicted model, not a curated record